This 119-nucleotide ribosomal RNA is filed under the name Triticum aestivum (bread wheat). The record is from RNAcentral. Lineage: Eukaryota; Viridiplantae; Streptophyta; Magnoliopsida; Poales; Poaceae.
GGAUGCGAUCAUACCAGCACUAAAGCACCGGAUGCCAUCAGAACUCCGAAGUUAAGCGUGCUUGGGCGAGAGUAGUACUAGGAUGGGUGACCUCCCGGGAAGUCCUCGUGUUGCAUUCC